Molecule: ribosomal RNA, 602 nt
Filed under: Vermamoeba vermiformis
Lineage: Eukaryota; Tubulinea; Echinamoebida; Vermamoebidae
Description: SSU rRNA
Rfam family: Eukaryotic small subunit ribosomal RNA
Source: RNAcentral
AAGAGUGUAUAUUAAAGUUGUUGCAGUUAAAAAGCUCGUAGUUGGAUUUCGGAAGGUCCUUAGUAAUCCGCCCCUUCGGGGAGCGGGUUGCUGGCCUCCUAUGUUCCUAACGGUCCUCAUCCGCGAGGGUGGGGAAUCAACCGCUAGGAUCGUUUACUUUGAGGAAAUUAGAGUGUUCAAAGCAGGCGUAACUCGCCUCCGAAUACGUUAGCAUGGGAUAAUGGAAUACGACUUCGGUCUUGUUUCGUUGGUUUCGCUUGGCUGAAGUAAUGAUUGAUAGGGACAGUUGGGGGCAUUAGUAUUUAGUUGUCAGAGGUGAAAUUCUAGGAUUUACUAAAGACUGACCAAUGCGAAAGCAUUUGCCAAGGAUGUUUUCAUUAAUCAAGAACGAAAGUAGGGGGAUCGAAGACGAUCAGAUACCGUCGUAGUCUCUACCGUAAACUAUGCCGACCAGGGAUCCGGAGAGUUUGCAUGGAUGACUCCCCGGGCACCUUGUGAGAAAUCAUAAGUGUUUGGGUUUUGGGGGGAGUAUGGUCGCAAGGCUGAAACUUAAAGGAAUUGACGGAAGGGCACCACCAGGAGUGGAACCUGCGGCUUAAUUC